RNAcentral lists this ribosomal RNA (254 nucleotides) under uncultured bacterium. Its description in RNAcentral is "partial 16S ribosomal RNA". It matches the Rfam family "Bacterial small subunit ribosomal RNA", at positions 524 to 776 of the family's 1533-position model. The record is from RNAcentral.
UACGAAGGGGGCUAGCGUUGCUCGGAAUCACUGGGCGUAAAGGGCGCGUAGGCGGACUUUUUAAGUCAGGGGUGAAAUCCUGAGGCUCAACCUCAGAACUGCCUUUGAUACUGAGGGUCUCGAGACCGGUAGAGGUAAGUGGAACUGCGAGUGUAGAGGUGAAAUUCGUAGAUAUUCGCAAGAACACCAGUGGCGAAGGCGGCUUACUGGACACAUAUUGACGCUGAGGUGCGAAAGCGUGGGGAGCAAACAGG